ACACACACACACACACACACACACACACUCACACACACACGUGUAAUAAGAUCUCCUUAAGCUUCAUAUUUUAUUCGUGUGGAAUUUAGAAUCGACCAAUGACAGCGGCGAUGGCUUUUGACGUCACUUCAUCAGGAAGUAAACAACAAUGGCUGUACGUUGUACUAAUAAGUUGCACUACUCGUUUUUAUUCGUAUUUGUAUUGGUGUGUGUUUUGUUUGGAAAGUCGGCCAGCUCUUUGACUUCAGAUAAACCUGGACAUGGUGAAUUCAAACAUUUCCGAAGUUUUCGAAGUGUUUCAGAGCCUACAGCUCCACCACCAGGGGUCAGGCUGCACCCCGGUGUCGUCGCCUCCGUCGUAAUCGUCGCAACUGCUGCAAUAGUGGCUGCAUUUUUUAUUAUUAGGAAAUACUGUUUCCCGCAGAGUGAUGCCACAUACAGAUACUCUGUGCUGAGGCGGAUGGAGGAGCAGAGAGAGGAAGAAUCUGAUGAGGUGAUGAAUUUUGCCUACUUUACUGAUUGAGAUCAGGAGGAACUACAGGUUCAGUUCUACUCUACAUGCUAAUUCUGUGUCUGUGUUUAUUUCUCUUAGGAUCUUUUGGAAUGAAACCAGGCGUGAUGUGGAAUUAUUAUUAGUAUAAAAAAAACAAUAAUAAUUCUCAGGAUUUUCUUCAGAAACAGUUUGUCCUUUUCAGCCCCAUCUUCCUUCUGUCCUUAGUUUUAAUGCCAAAACUAUUAUGGGUUUUUAAAGGUCACAUGGUGCUGGUUAAUGUUGUAAAUGUGAAUGGCAAGAUUAUUUAUUAAGAACUGCCUUCAGGAUCCAGAGUGAAGCGAUCAAAAAGUUUGGAACUGUGAAACACAGCCAAUGAGUCUGAGAUUUUAUUUAUUUUGUUGUUGUUAUUGUUUGUUACAGGAAAAUACAACCCACUAUUUUCAAUGUUACUCUAAUUUUUGAGUUUUAAUGGGUUGAGAAUAUGUUUGAUCUAAACCUUAACAACUCAAAAGCAACCGAACAUAACCUAACUUGAACCUAAUGUGUCCUGUUGGUGGAAAUUUCAGGAAUUAAAAGCUACAUGGCUCUGAUAAAUGGUCCAAAUAAGAUUGUACAUGUUUAAAUAAUAAGUCUAAUAUUUGACUAGUUGGAUCUUGUUUAAAUAAAUCUGAACUAAGGGGGUCCAUGGAAUUUAUUAAAGUUAAAGGGGUUCUUGGCUGCAAAAAGUUUGAGAACCUCAGCACUACAGUAUAACACAAUAAUUAAAUGGGCUUUGUCACUAUCCUUAAUCUGUAUUCCCACUAAUUAUAAGGAAUUUUAUGCUGAAAGUUUUUCCUCAUUGCUUAUUGUGUGUAGUGUAGGUAAAACAUUGCAUUUUUUUCACAUUAAGAUUUAUGGGCAAUUGUCUAAUCAGGUGACUCCCCUUGGGCUUUUGCGCAUAUUUGCUUUAGUUAAGGAUUUUGUAUUUCUUUCAGUUUUUCUAAAUGUGAGUAGGGGUUACAUAUGUGUUUGGUCUACCAGUAUGGUUAGCACAUUUUCCUCGCACCUUUGGGGUGCCAGGAAAUCCCCGCCUCUGCCCUGUGCAUGCAGAGCUGGCAUGUUCUCCCCAUGCUUCAGGGGUUUCCUCUGGGUACUCUGGUUUCUUCCCCCAGUCCAAAGACAUGCACUAUAUGUUGAUUGGCAUUUCCAAAUUGUCCUUAGUGUGUGAAUGGGUGUGUGCGAUUGUGCCCUGUGAUGAGUUGGCACCCUGUCCAGGGUGUCCCCCUGCCUUGUGCCCCGAGUUCCCUGGGAUAGACUCCAGGAUCAGCCUUGUGUAGCAUAAGUGGUACAGAAAUUGGAUGGAUGUUAAAUCAGUCUUGGGUUAACGUAUAUUGUUAGAUAAGUUAAACAAGGUUCUUUCUGUGUCAUUUUGUGUUGUAAUUGUUUUGUUUUGCUGCCUGAGAAUGUGAGUAGAUUUCCUUGUUAGAUUUUGUUGACUGUGUGAUUUAUGUAGUGCUUCAUUGUAUGAAUUGAUAUGUACCUCUGAAACACCUGAGAGAAAUUUUAUGACCUGAAAUUGUUUGAGUAAUUGCUGAAAAUUCACCACUCAGGAUUAAAGUUAUUUCAAACCCCAUUGUUUAUUUGACUCACAUUUAGUCAUGUCUGUCUGUCUGUCUGUCUGUCUGUGUCUGUGUGUGUGUCUCUCUCUCUCUCUCUGCGUGCAUGUGCAGUGCAGUGGAAGAGCAAGCGUGACGUGUAGAGCGCGUGAGAGCAGUUUGGCGUCUUCUCAAAGUUUUCUGCGACAUUGUCUUUUUGCUUUUGUUUCAUUUAAUUAUUGAAUGUUUAAGUUAUGUAAGUAGCAGUAGCCGGUAAAAGUUGAGAGCGGGUGGGAGUGAGCGGGCGUCCCGCUCUCUGAGGCCGGAGGGGAGACGCUGUCUCUCCGCCAUGGCGUCAGGUGUGUGCCGGAGGAUGGAGAACAGGUGGAGGAGGUUCUGCUAGCGGUGGGAGAGCAGGUCCGGUGGGAGAGCAGAUGGACAAGGUGGUGGAAUCAUCCAAACAGCCACAGCACAGUGUUGUGAUGCAGGAGAACUUGUGCCCAGAGUGCAGCGCAGGAGCUACAGGAGAGGAACCGCUCACAGACAUGGAGGAGGAAGAGGUCAAUCCAGAUCAGCUAAAUACUUUUAACUUUUCAGAACAGCCUGAACAGCUUUACACCAUGGACCAGAUUAACCAGUUUUUAGAACUGACCAAAGGAAAAUGGAACAUCUCACUGACAGAUUAACUACUUUGUCAAAUCUGCACAACACGUAACAAGAAAUGAAAACCUGAACGUGCUGUCAACACGGAGACGCUUCAGACUGAGGACAUGGACAUCAGUUGCAAAAAAGGCCUUAAUAUAAAAAGGCCUGUUUACUUUCAC
Ictalurus punctatus (channel catfish) is the source of this 2891-nucleotide long non-coding RNA. NCBI's taxonomy places the organism in Eukaryota, Metazoa, Chordata, Actinopteri, Siluriformes, Ictaluridae. The record is from Ensembl.